UGUCUUCAGGGCAGGGUGAAAAUCCCGAUCGGCGGUACAGUCCGCGAGCGCUCCCCGCGCAAGAUCCGGUGUAAUUCCGGAACCGACAGUAACGCACCAUUCUCGGUGCGAAGUCUGGAUGGAAGAAGAUG
Molecule: non-coding RNA, 131 nt
Filed under: chicken gut metagenome
Description: FMN riboswitch (RFN element)
Rfam family: FMN riboswitch aptamer (RFN element)
About the family: The RFN element is a highly conserved domain that is found frequently in the 5'-untranslated regions of prokaryotic mRNAs that encode for flavin mononucleotide (FMN) biosynthesis and transport proteins. This element is a metabolite-dependent riboswitch that directly binds FMN in the absence of proteins.
Source: RNAcentral